This 253-nucleotide ribosomal RNA is filed under the name uncultured bacterium. RNAcentral's name for it is "partial 16S ribosomal RNA". It matches the Rfam family "Bacterial small subunit ribosomal RNA", at positions 524 to 776 of the family's 1533-position model. The record is from RNAcentral.
UACGUAGGGGGCAAGCGUUGUCCGGAAUCAUUGGGCGUAAAGCGCACGUAGGCGGAUUGCUAAGUCAGGGGUGAAAUCCUGGAGCUCAACUCCAGAACUGCCUUUGAUACUGGCGACCUUGAGUCCGGGAGAGGUGAGUGGAACUGCGAGUGUAGAGGUGAAAUUCGUAGAUAUUCGCAAGAACACCAGUGGCGAAGGCGGCUCACUGGCCCGGUACUGACGCUGAGGUGCGAAAGCGUGGGGAGCAAACAGG